UGUUCUCCACAGGAUUGCUGCUGAAGGUCUGUGCUGUUCAUGAGCAGCUCUAAUGAGCAUCCCUAGCUACAAUAAAGCUGAGGAUCACAAACCUUCACUCCCUGGUGUGUUACCCUACUACACAUAGAGGAGAAAUUCAGGCACUCCCUGAGGAUGAAGAUCAAAGAGGGGUGACAGCUUCCCCCAGCUCCUUGGACAGACAAAAUAACCCAGCAGGAAACAAGACACCAUGCUGAAAAAUUGUCUGCCUUCUACUGUUCUCCAUCUGGAAAAUAAAUCAGCCACACCCUGCCUCUCUGUGCUCGACUGCUGCUGUCCUGCCCAAGGGAAGGAAAGAAGCUAUUUCCCACCUGAAAUAACAUCUCGUAGGAUAUAGCAAUGGCAUUGGACUCCAUGGUCAGUAGCCAUCACUGUUUUAAGAGUUAAAAAAAGGAAAACAAUUCAGCCACCACAAGCAGGUGUUGUGUCGGGAUCACUGAUCACCUCUGAAGUUUCAGCUAUUGCUUUGUGUUUCCCAUCUGGUCAUUGCCCUGUUGCCUUGUUCCCAGACAUUAGGAGAACUGAGAUGUUGAUUCUUUAUGUGCUCAGCGUGUGGCAUUAUGAGGCUAGAGCCUGCAGGACUUAGGAUAUGAAAAUAGCUGCCUGUCUUAGCAGAACUUUGGAGCAUACAGCUUCUCUGAAGACACAUGAUGAGGGUAGAGGAGCUGAGCUCUCCAUUCAGUGGGAAGAACGACAGAAUAAAUGUACCAUAGAAACAUGGGAUGCUUUGGGCUGGAAGGGAACUUGAAGACCAUCUAAUUCCAACCUCCUUGCAAUGGUCAGGGACAGCUUCCACCAGAUCAGGUUGCUCAGAGGCCAAAUCUAUAUGUUAGUAAAUGUUAAGCUGCAUGUCAGAAAGAAA
Ficedula albicollis (Collared flycatcher) is the source of this 901-nucleotide long non-coding RNA. RefSeq lists it as uncharacterized. The record is from RefSeq and is a predicted model, not a curated record. NCBI's taxonomy places the organism in Eukaryota, Metazoa, Chordata, Aves, Passeriformes, Muscicapidae. The transcript is spliced from 3 exons.